CUUUGUCUUUUUAGGGCCACACCCACAGCAUACGGAGGUUCCCAGGCCAGGGAUCUAAUCAGAGCUGUUGCUGCCGUCCUACACCAGAGCCACAGCAACGCCAGAUCUGAGCCACGUCUGUGACCUACACCACAGGUCAUGGCAACGCUGGAUCCUUAACCCACUGAGCGAGGCCAUGAGGGCUGCUCCCACCGAAACCUCAUGGUUCCUAGUCAGAUGUGUUUUCACUACACCAAGACGGGAACUCCAGAUGCAAAUCUUGACUUUACCACUUACUGUGUGAUCUUGGAAAUGUUAGUUUACCUCUCUGGGCCUCAGUUUGCUUUUUUGUAAGUUGGGGAUAAAAUAGUACAAUAGAAGCAAUUUUAUCAAACACAGUGUGGUCUGUUAAUUGGAAAAGUAAAAAUGAGGAGUCAUGAAAUAAAUGAUAUAUGGUUUAUUAGCACUCUACUACAUUUUAAAAACCUACUACUACUUAGUGGCUUAAAACUGACAAAUAUUUAUUUGUCACAUUCUGGAUGGUAGCUGAUGGUUUCUCUGGUCUGAGCCAGUUUGACUGGACUAGGUGCUCUAGGAUGGCCUCAUUCCUGCAUCUAGAGUCUACACUAGUAUGAUUGAGCUCUCCAUUUGACCACUCAGUUUCAAGGAGGGCAGCUUGAGCAUGUUCACCUGGUGGCAGUAGGUUCCCAGCAGCAAGAGAUGUCAAGCCCCAGUGCACAUGCCUUUCAAGCAUCCUGCAGUGUGAUGUUUGCUAAUGUUCCAUGGGCCAAAGAAAAUCACAAGGUCAAGUCCAGAUAGACGGCCAGGGAAGGGGAGACACAGACUUUACCUUUGAUGGAGAUGAACAGCAGGGUCACACGGCACACUGACCUGCGUUGUAGGAGGAAUAAUGUGGUCAUUUUUAUAAACAGUCUACCACAUCACAUCUCAUACAUUUUAAUUUAAAAUAUUUGUGCACCAGAGUUCCCAUCAUGGCUCAGUGGAAAUGAAUCCAACUAGUAUUCAUGAGGAUGCAGGUUCAAUCCCUGGCCUUACUCAGUGGGUUAGGGAUCCUGCAUUGCUGUGAACUGUGGUGUAGGUCACAGACAUGGCUCAGAUCCCACGUUGCUGUGGAUGUGGCUUAGGUGGGCAGCUGUGACUCUGAUUUGACCCCUAGCCAGGGAACUUCCAUAUGCCAGAGGUGCGGCCCUAAAAAGCAAAAAAAUGAAUGAAUGAAUGAAUAAAUAAAAUAUUUGUUCACCUUUGACAUGGACUCAAGUAUAGCUACAUGGACGGUAAGAACAACUGAUUCUUGGUGACUGUACAGCUCACCUAGUGGGCAUCCUGGAGCAGGCCAAGGCAUCAGUCAGUCAGGUCCCCAGAGGGGAUUAAGAGCCUCAGUUUAGUGGCAGUUACUAAAGAGCUUCUACUGUACCAGCCAGGUAGAGCUGUAUCGAGGGUUAGUUGUGAAAAUACCCUUAACAUGCUUAGGACACUUCUUUAGUUCCUGUAAAUGCUCAGUAAUGUUAGUUGUUCUCAUUAUUACACAAUCAUUCAUGUGGUUAUUGUUGUUGCUGUUAUUAAUCAGUCUAAGGUAAAACCUUGGUAUAGGAUAGAAAUGGCAUAAGGAAUAAUAAAAAUGCCAGACCCAGUACCAUCAAGUGGUAAUUGAGAGGAAACAAUGAAGGUAGAAAGGGAGGAUCAAGCCAGGGAUUUAUAAAACUGAUAUAAGAGAACCUAGAAGAUGGAGCAGUAGGAAAUGGGUGAUUCAGACAAGGAGCCUGGAGAAGCAGGCAUGUUAGUCUUAGUUAACAAUUAUAAUUUUGGAGUUCUGGUCAUGGCUCAGCAGAAAUGAAUCUGACUGGUAUCCAUGAGGACACAGGUUCAGUCCCUCGCCCCUCUCAGUGGGUUAAGAAUCGAGCGUUGCUGUGAGCUGUGGUGUAGGGUUGCUACACCAGAUCUGUGUGGCUGUGGCACAGGAGAGCAGCCACAGCUCCAAUUCAACCCCUAGACUGGGAACCUCCAUGUGCUGCAAGUGCAGCCCUAAAAAGACAAAAAAAAAAAAAAAGAAUUAUAAUUUCAACAUACGUAUUUGAAGCAUGAUGAUUUAGGAGAAUGCUUCCUAAGUUCUGGUUCAGAGACUGGUUGCUCGUCCCUGGGGAGCUUGUUAAAAAUGUAGAAAUUGUAAUUCCUGAGCCAAUAGGUUUAAGAACCUAUAUUACUAAAAGCUGUUCAGGUAGAUUUGAAUGCACAUUCAGGCUUGGGAAGCCAUGAAAACAUAGAGCACUGGAAGUCAGGAAACUUGGACUGUAGUUCUGGGUCUGGAAUAGACUUGCUAUGUGACCUCUGUCUUGCAGAUCUAGAGAGAUGAAAUUUGGAGAUGUGUUUAAUCCCUUGUAGACCCCUUGACGCAUGUAAGGGGUGAUUAUUAGUAUUUCAGCAGGUACUCUCUGUGUUUGAAACCAGGCCCAUCAAUCAAGGUUCCUCCACCUCAUAUGCCAAGCAAGGGACUUGGCCCACUUUAUCUAAAAAUCCUUCCCAUUGGUUCAACAACUAUAGAAGACAACAUGGAGGUUCCCCAAAAUACAAAAAAUAGAGUUGCCAUAUGAUCCAGCAGUCCCACUCCUGGUGCAAAAAUUAUAGUUUUUACUCAGGCAAAACUAUAAUUUGAAAAGAUACAUGCACCCCUGUGUUCAUGGCAACACUAUUUUCAAUAGCCAAGACAUAGAAACAAUUUAAAUGCACAUCAGCAGAUAAACGGAUAAGGAUGUGGUGUAUAUAUACAUAUAUAAAAUGGAGUAUUACUCAGCCAUUAAAAAGAAAUAACACCAUUUGCAGAAACUAGGGUGGACCUAGAGAUUAUCUUACUAAGUCAAGUAAGUCAUAAAGAGAAAGACAAAUACCAUAUGAUAUCACUUAUAUGUAGAAUCUAAAAUGCGAUAUAAAUCAACAAAUCAGUGAAACAAAAAGAUUCACAGAUAUAGACAACAGAUUUGUGGUUACCAAAGGGGAGAGGGAUAGAGGAGAGGGAAGGACUGGGAGUUUUGGAUUAGCAGAAACAAACUAUUAUAUAUAGGAUGAAUAAACAACAGGUCCUACUUUAUAGCACAGGGAAUUAUAUCCAAUAUUCUGUGAUGAGCCAUGAUGGAAAAGAAUAUGCAAAAGGAUAUAUUUGUAUAGCUGAGUCACUUUGCCAUACAGGGAAAACUAACACAGUAUUGUAAACCAACUAUACUUCAAUAAAAUUUGUAAAAAUAAUUUAAAAUCCCUUCUAGCUGUAAAAUUUUAUAACUAUGAUUUGUUUUCUGUUUUGCAGACACCAAAUUUCUAUAUGUUGAUGUGGAUUCUCAUGGAUUGUGCUUCUGCAAUUUUCAUUGUUGCCAUAUUUUAUUUUCAUUGGUAAGCAUAACUGAUUUUCCCUGAAAUAGAAAUAUAAGUGAUUUUUGUGGAAAUUUGAGAAAAAAGCAGCUACAUUCUUCCCAUAGUCCCACAUGGCAAAUCCUCAGGGAGACAGGGUUUUAUCGUCUGAUGCUACCUGAAGCAGCCUGCAGCUCCUCAUACACCAUCUACCUACUCAACAUGAGACUAUAUUUGAAGGACAAGGAUUCUCACUAAAGCUUAAUCUAAGCCUGUUACUACAGAUUUCAAUGCAGAUCAACCGGAAGAGGACAGGGGCUGAAGGUUCUUCACAAAAGUGCCUCCAAAUCUCCCCACCUUCCACACAAUUGCACAUAGUGGAGUGCUGUGUAAAGAGCAAGUUGACAAACCAUGGUUUUAGUCCUGGCUUUGCCCUUAGUUUCUGAGUGAUCCUGGGAUAAUCAGUGCCCCUUUCCAGGCCAUAGUCUUUUCAUCUGUCCGAGAAAAUGACAUUUGAGAAUUCUUGAGAGAAUAUGCUAUAAGAUUGCAAGGUUCAAGGUGGGAGAGGAGACAUCUGGUAGAAGAAUUCGACCUAUAAGAGACCUUGGUUGUUUAAAUCUCAUCAUGUCCAUCAUUUCUUCAUUUGAAGUGUCCUUUAAAGGAGGAAACCACACACCCUCUCCUUAAAGGAGAAUUUGACUGGACAAUGUUCUUUUACAGUCUUUGCCUUGAAUUAUUGCCAUUUUUGGAAGAGGUCUAUAUGGUUGAUGUAUAGUCUGCUUCCUUCUAGGUGGAGAGAGAGCCAAAGUGAAAAAAUCCUCAGAGGUAUCAGCAGUUAUGCAGGUAAAGUCAGAGGCCUCAUGGACUCCCAUCUCUUCCUCCCUACCCAUUGCCUCAGGAUACAGGCAUUGUUUUUGACAAGAGUUGAAGGAGUCUGAAUUUGAGAGUGGGGACCAGUGAGAAAUUGGGACCAAUAAACUAAGCACAGAUUCUGGAGGGCCCUUGAUAUCACUCUUCAUUUUGGACUUUAUUGUCUAAGCAAUGAGACUCCUUGUAAGCUUUUGAACAUGGAUGAUUUUUUGUUGUUGUUCGCUUGUUCAUAUAUUCACUUAUCACAGUUAUUGAGUACCAGCUUUGUGAUAGCCACUUUCUUUGUCCUCACACAGCCUUUCUUCUGUGUACCCACACACACCCUCAGUAUCUCCUGUGUGUCCAAAUUUUCUCUUCUAUGCUCAGACUGGAUCAGGGCUCAUGACAGUGGCCUCAUUUUAAUCAUGUCUUUAAAGGCUUUAUUUCCUACAUUAGUAACAUAUUGAAGUGCUGGUGGUUAAGGCUUGACCAUAUGAAAUUGUGGGGUAUACAAGUCAGGU
This 4706-nucleotide long non-coding RNA is filed under the name Sus scrofa (pig). Its description in RNAcentral is "lncRNA (ENSSSCG00015081157.1)". Lineage: Eukaryota; Metazoa; Chordata; Mammalia; Artiodactyla; Suidae. The record is from RNAcentral.